Long non-coding RNA from Pecten maximus, 1717 nucleotides. RefSeq lists it as uncharacterized. Lineage: Eukaryota; Metazoa; Mollusca; Bivalvia; Pectinida; Pectinidae. The transcript has 6 exons. The record is from RefSeq and is a predicted model, not a curated record.
UGUUAUAAUGCAUACACCCCAAAACUAAAGCAAACUAGCCACAUUGGAUAUCAACGUUCAAAUGAUCAACAUGUUAUAUCACGCCAUACUAACUUUAUUUGCAGUAACCAUUAUUGGAAUGGUUACAAAACUUUUACAAAGACAGAAGAGGGACGCAAGACUCAAAUCGAGCCUCAAAUAUAAUUUUAAAAUGCGUUCGUGAAAGUUAUGAUAAAACGUCAUCAGGCAAACCCCUGCAUGUCUCCUGCCAUCAUACCACGGAUUCAUGUCGAGCAUAUCCAACUGUUAGGUACCCUGACUAUACUAUCCUCUGACGAGGAUGAUCCUACCCUGUCCACUUCCUUGCAAGUGGUGACAGAGCUGCUCUUAGGCUCCAAAUGUUGCAAUGUUUAUGCAACAGUACCAGGUAUGGCUUCGGAUUCUUGACUUGGAGGCGGAGUGAUUGGUAGAAUGGCUGGGCUGGAGGAGUAAUCGUAUACAUGACAUCAAGCUAAUGUUCUGAGAGAAAAAAAAAAGAUUUCAGAUAGAAAUUACGCAAGAAAAUGGAAAUGUAUUGAAAAGAAGCCGUUAUUCUCAAACAGAGAGGGUGGAAAUUAGUGGUAAAGUUGACGCCGAAAGUAAAGGAAAGGUACCCUGACAUCUGACGAGGAUGAUCCUACCCUGUCCACUUCCUCGCCAGCGGUGACAGAGCUGCUCGUGGGCUCCAAAUGUUGCAAUGUUUCUUCAACAGUACCAGGUUUGGAUUCGGAUUCUUGACUGGGAGGCGGAGUGAUUGGUAAAAUGGCGGGGCUGGAGGAGUGUUCAUAUACAUAACAUCCAGCUGAUCUGAAAGAAAAAAUAAAUUCAAGUAUAUUUUUUUAACUGAAAUAGUAAAAUUAAACAGAUUAUACAUGUAUAUAACAUGCAAUUUUUAUUAUGUCUUCAUUUCAUCACUUUUUAUAUGUGUUAGUUCUAUGUAGAUCUAUUUUUGGAAAUAUAUUCACAUCGUCAAUACAUUUUCAAGUGAAAUAAAAUGAGAGAUAUUUUUUUCUAGUUUACAGUAUUUAUACAUGAACAGCAUAAAAAAAUGCCGAGGUCUCAGGUUAUAUUGGUGCCUUCUAGGCCUUAAAUUAUAAAAACGCCUUCUAAUUUACAUAGGCCUUUUGGCUUCUUCCAUGAGCACUUUCAACGGACAUUUCUGAUAGAAAUUACGCCAGAAAAUGGAAAUGAAUGAAAAGAAGUCGUUAUUCUCAACCAGAGAGGGUGGAAGUUAGUACCAAAGUUAACGCCGAAAGUAAAGGUUGAUGUAACCUAAUUCACCGCGGGAAACGGUUAAAAAUAUGUCCACAUAAACCGGAAUGGUUAUACCCUCAGCCUGCAUUAUGAAGAAUUUGAAGAAUUAUGCCUUGUCAAAGAGGCAAUAAUUUGAGACAACUCCAUCAUCUGGACGAGGUUCUACCCAUAAAAAGCGAAUGAACACAUCGAUGACCAUAAAGAAGAACUUUACACUGGAGUUUUGCUUUAAAAAUGAUGUCAUAUUGCUCGAAUGGUUCGCCAACUUCUUCACGUGCGCGCCUAAAUGACCAUGUUACAUGGUGUAUACUAUAAUCGUCGAGGCUUUGAGUAUACCGGCUAAUCGUGUGUAAAACUGGAGAGUCAAUUCCUUGCUAUUUCAGUUUUGAUGUACUUACUUAGGGCUUAAGAAUGUCCUACCUUAUUAAAGUUGUUAUAAAUGUCA